CGUCUUCUCACGGGUGCUAAGGUCGUGUGCUGCACUGCUGCUGCAAGGGUUCUGAGGUCUAGUGAAGCUGGGCGACUGGCCGGGUAAUUGCUGCAGUCGGGGCGCGCUAGGCUGAGGCUGCGUAGGGCAGAGGCUUCGCUGGGAUAGGCAGGCUGCAGGCGGGGAGGGUUUAGGCAGGCGAGGAGCCGCGCAGGGCAGAGGUGAGGCCGCGACUAGGCUAGGUGAGGCCUCGGUGGUUAGGCUGGGCUGGGCUGUGCUUAGCGUUGCGUCUUGGGAUUGCAGAUGCUCUGUAAGGUGGCAAUGUAGGCGGGGAUGGCUUGCUUGUGGAGGCUGAUGGUGUGCUGCUGUGGGGUUGAC
RNAcentral lists this long non-coding RNA (357 nucleotides) under Rosa chinensis. RNAcentral's name for it is "sRNA RchiOBHm_Chr4g0412351". The record is from RNAcentral. Lineage: Eukaryota; Viridiplantae; Streptophyta; Magnoliopsida; Rosales; Rosaceae.